AUUGAACGCUGGCGGCAGGCUUAACACAUGCAAGUCGAGCGGGGUGAUGGUGCUUGCACUAUCACUUAGCGGCGGACGGGUGAGUAAUGCUUAGGAAUCUGCCUAUUAGUGGGGGACAACAUCUCGAAAGGGAUGCUAAUACCGCAUACGUCCUACGGGAGAAAGCAGGGGAUCACUUGUGACCUUGCGCUAAUAGAUGAGCCUAAGUCGGAUUAGCUAGUUGGUGGGGCAAAGGCCUACCAAGGCGACGAUCUGUAGCGGGUCUGAGAGGAGGAUCCGCCACACUGGGACUGAGACCCGGCCCAGACUCCUACGGGAGGCAGCGGUGGGGAAUAUUGGACAAUGGGGGGAACCCUGAUCCAGCCAUGCCGCGUGUGUGAAGAAGGCCUUAUGGUUGUAAAGCACUUUAAGCGAGGAGGAGGCUCUUUUGGUUAAUACCCAAGAUGAGUGGACGUUACUCGCAGAAUAAGCACCGGCUAACUCUGUGCCAGCCGCCCCGUAA
Molecule: ribosomal RNA, 502 nt
Filed under: uncultured bacterium
Lineage: Bacteria
Description: partial 16S ribosomal RNA
Rfam family: Bacterial small subunit ribosomal RNA
Source: RNAcentral